This 429-nucleotide ribosomal RNA is filed under the name Bacteroidota bacterium. RNAcentral's name for it is "Bacteroidetes bacterium partial 16S ribosomal RNA". It matches the Rfam family "Bacterial small subunit ribosomal RNA", at positions 355 to 776 of the family's 1533-position model. Lineage: Bacteria; Pseudomonadati; Bacteroidota. The record is from RNAcentral.
UAGGGAAUCUUCGGCAAUGGGGGGAACCCUGACCGAGCAACGCCGCGUGAGUGAAGAAGGUUUGCGGAUCGUAAAGCUCUGUUGUUAAGGAAGAACGAGUGUGAGAAUGGAAAGUUCAUACUGUGACGGUACUUAACCAGAAAGGGACGGCGAACUACGUGCCAGCAGCCGCGGUAAUACGUAGGUCCCGAGCGUUGUCCGGAUUUAUUGGGCGUAAAGCGAGCGCAGGCGGUUAGAUAAGUCUGAAGUUAAAGGCAGUGGCUCAACCAUUGUAGGCUUUGGAAACUGUUUAACUUGAGUGCAGAAGGGGAGAGUGGAAUUCCAUGUGUAGCGGUGAAAUGCGUAGAUAUAUGGAGGAACACCGGUGGCGAAAGCGGCUCUCUGGUCUGUAACUGACGCUGAGGCUCGAAAGCGUGGGGAGCGAACAGG